UGAGGAAUAUUGGUCAAUGGACGUGAGUCUGAACCAGCCAAGUCGCGUGAAGGAAGAAGGUUCUAUGGAUUGUAAACUUCUUUUAUACGGGAAUAAAGUGCGCCACGUGUGGUGUUUUGUAUGUACCGUAUGAAUAAGCAUCGGCUAACUCCGUGCCAGCAGCCGCGGUAAUACGGAGGAUGCGAGCGUUAUCCGGAUUUAUUGGGUUUAAAGGGUGCGUAGGUUGUUUUUUGAAGUCAGCGGUGAAAGUUUGUGGCUCAACCAUAAAAUUGCCGUUGAAACUGGAAGACUUGAGUGUGUUUGAGGUAGGCGGAAUGCGUGGUGUAGCGGUGAAAUGCAUAGAUAUCGCGCAGAACUCCGAUUGCGAAGGCAGCCUACCGGCUCCAGACUGACGCUGAGGCACGAAAGCGUGGGUAUCGAACAGAUUAGAUACC
This 434-nucleotide ribosomal RNA is filed under the name uncultured bacterium. RNAcentral's name for it is "bacterial SSU rRNA". It matches the Rfam family "Bacterial small subunit ribosomal RNA", at positions 355 to 786 of the family's 1533-position model. The record is from RNAcentral.